GGGUUGUGAGGUUAAGCGACUAAGCGUACACGGUGGAUGCCCUGGCAGUCAGAGGCGAUGAAGGACGUGCUAAUCUGCGAAAAGCGCCGGCGAGGUGAUAUGAACCUUUGACCCGGCGAUGUCCGAAUGGGGAAACCCAGUGCAAUCCGUUGCACUAUCGUUUGAUGAAUACAUAGUCAAACGAGGCGAACCGGGGGAACUGAAACAUCUAAGUACCCCGAGGAAAAGAAAUCAACCGAGAUUCCCCCAGUAGCGGCGAGCGAACGGGGAGCAGCCCAGAGCCUGAAUCAGCUUGUGUGUUAGUGGAAGCGUCUGGAAAGUCGCGCGAUACAGGGUGACAGCCCCGUACACGAAAGCACACAGGUUGUGAGCUCGAUGAGUAGGGCGGGACACGUGGUAUCCUGUCUGAAUAUGGGGGGACCAUCCUCCAAGGCUAAAUACUCCUGACUGACCGAUAGUGAACCAGUACCGUGAGGGAAAGGCGAAAAGAACCCCGGCGAGGGGAGUGAAAAAGAACCUGAAACCGUGUACGUACAAGCAGUGGGAGCCUCUUAAUGGGGUGACUGCGUACCUUUUGUAUAAUGGGUCAGCGACUUAUAUUCUGUAGCAAGGUUAACCGAAUAGGGGAGCCGAAGGGAAACCGAGUCUUAACUGGGCGUUAAGUUGCAGGGUAUAGACCCGAAACCCGGUGAUCUAGCCAUGGGCAGGUUGAAGGUUGGGUAACACUAACUGGAGGACCGAACCGACUAAUGUUGAAAAAUUAGCGGAUGACUUGUGGCUGGGGGUGAAAGGCCAAUCAAACCGGGAGAUAGCUGGUUCUCCCCGAAAGCUAUUUAGGUAGCGCCUCGUGAAUUCAUCUCCGGGGGUAGAGCACUGUUUCGGCUAGGGGGCCAUCCCGGCUUACCAACCCGAUGCAAACUACGAAUACCGGAGAAUGUUAUCACGGGAGACACACGGCGGGUGCUAACGUCCGUCGUGAAGAGGGAAACAACCCAGACCGCCAGCUAAGGUCCCAAAGUCAUGGUUAAGUGGGAAACGAUGUGGGAAGGCACAGACAGCCAGGAUGUUGGCUUAGAAGCAGCCAUCAUUUAAAGAAAGCGUAAUAGCUCACUGGUCGAGUCGGCCUGCGCGGAAGAUGUAACGGGGCUAAACCAUGCACCGAAGCUGCGGCAGCGACACUAAGUGUUGUUGGGUAGGGGAGCGUUCUGUAAGCCUGCGAAGGUGUGCUGUGAGGCAUGCUGGAGGUAUCAGAAGUGCGAAUGCUGACAUAAGUAACGAUAAAGCGGGUGAAAAGCCCGCUCGCCGGAAGACCAAGGGUUCCUGUCCAACGUUAAUCGGGGCAGGGUGAGUCGACCCCUAAGGCGAGGCCGAAAGGCGUAGUCGAUGGGAAACAGGUUAAUAUUCCUGUACUUGGUGUUACUGCGAAGGGGGGACGGAGAAGGCUAUGUUAGCCGGGCGACGGUUGUCCCGGUUUAAGCAUGUAGGCUGGUUAUCCAGGCAAAUCCGGAUAAUCAAGGCUGAGGUGUGAUGACGAGUCACUACGGUGAUGAAGUAACAAAUGCCCUGCUUCCAGGAAAAGCCUCUAAGCAUCAGGUAACACGAAAUCGUACCCCAAACCGACACAGGUGGUCAGGUAGAGAAUACCAAGGCGCUUGAGAGAACUCGGGUGAAGGAACUAGGCAAAAUGGUGCCGUAACUUCGGGAGAAGGCACGCUGAUAUGUAGGUGAAGCCCCUGCGGGCGGAGCUGAAAUCAGUCGAAGAUACCAGCUGGCUGCAACUGUUUAUUAAAAACACAGCACUGUGCAAACACGAAAGUGGACGUAUACGGUGUGACGCCUGCCCGGUGCCGGAAGGUUAAUUGAUGGGGUUAUCCGUAAGGAGAAGCUCUUGAUCGAAGCCCCGGUAAACGGCGGCCGUAACUAUAACGGUCCUAAGGUAGCGAAAUUCCUUGUCGGGUAAGUUCCGACCUGCACGAAUGGCGUAAUGAUGGCCAGGCUGUCUCCACCCGAGACUCAGUGAAAUUGAACUCGCUGUGAAGAUGCAGUGUACCCGCGGCAAGACGGAAAGACCCCGUGAACCUUUACUAUAGCUUGACACUGAACAUUGAGCCUUGAUGUGUAGGAUAGGUGGGAGGCUUUGAAGCGUGGACGCCAGUCUGCGUGGAGCCAACCUUGAAAUACCACCCUUUAAUGUUUGAUGUUCUAACGUGGACCCGUAAUCCGGGUUGCGGACAGUGUCUGGUGGGUAGUUUGACUGGGGCGGUCUCCUCCCAAAGAGUAACGGAGGAGCACGAAGGUUGGCUAAUCCUGGUCGGACAUCAGGAGGUUAGUGCAAUGGCAUAAGCCAGCUUGACUGCGAGCGUGACGGCGCGAGCAGGUGCGAAAGCAGGUCAUAGUGAUCCGGUGGUUCUGAAUGGAAGGGCCAUCGCUCAACGGAUAAAAGGUACUCCGGGGAUAACAGGCUGAUACCGCCCAAGAGUUCAUAUCGACGGCGGUGUUUGGCACCUCGAUGUCGGCUCAUCACAUCCUGGGGCUGAAGUAGGUCCCAAGGGUAUGGCUGUUCGCCAUUUAAAGUGGUACGCGAGCUGGGUUUAGAACGUCGUGAGACAGUUCGGUCCCUAUCUGCCGUGGGCGCUGGAGAAUUGAGGGGGGCUGCUCCUAGUACGAGAGGACCGGAGUGGACGCAUCACUGGUGUUCGGGUUGUCAUGCCAAUGGCACUGCCCGGUAGCUACAUGCGGAAGAGAUAAGUGCUGAAAGCAUCUAAGCACGAAACUUGCCCCGAGAUGAGUUCUCCCCUGGACUUUAAGUCCACUAAAGGAACGUUGAAGACGACGACGUUGAUAGGCCGGGUGUGUAAGCGCAGCGAUGCGUUGAGCUAACCGGUACUAAUGAACCGUGAGGCUUAACCUUACAACGCCGAAG
RNAcentral lists this ribosomal RNA (2923 nucleotides) under [Kluyvera] intestini. Its description in RNAcentral is "bacterial LSU rRNA". It matches the Rfam family "Bacterial large subunit ribosomal RNA". The record is from RNAcentral. Lineage: Bacteria; Pseudomonadati; Pseudomonadota; Gammaproteobacteria; Enterobacterales; Enterobacteriaceae.